Molecule: ribosomal RNA, 484 nt
Filed under: uncultured bacterium
Lineage: Bacteria
Description: bacterial SSU rRNA
Rfam family: Bacterial small subunit ribosomal RNA
Source: RNAcentral
CUACGUGCCAGCAGCCGCGGUAAUACGUAGGUCCCGAGCGUUGUCCGGAUUUAUUGGGCGUAAAGCGAGCGCAGGCGGUUAGAUAAGUCUGAAGUUAAAGGCUGUGGCUUAACCAUAGUACGCUUUGGAAACUGUUUAACUUGAGUGCAAGAGGGGAGAGUGGAAUUCCAUGUGUAGCGGUGAAAUGCGUAGAUAUAUGGAGGAACACCGGUGGCGAAAGCGGCUCUCUGGCUUGUAACUGACGCUAAAGCGCGAAAGCGUGGGUAGCAAACAGGAUUAGAUACCCUGGUAGUCCACGCCGUAAACGAUGAUUACUAGGUGUUGGGGGUCGAACCUCAGCGCCCAAGCUAACGCGAUAAGUAAUCCGCCUGGGGAGUACGUACGCAAGUAUGAAACUCAAAGGAAUUGACGGGGACCCGCACAAGCGGUGGAGCAUGUGGUUUAAUUCGACGCAACGCGAGGAACCUUACCAGCGUUUGACAUC